Molecule: long non-coding RNA, 5355 nt
Organism: Pyrus x bretschneideri (Chinese white pear)
Lineage: Eukaryota; Viridiplantae; Streptophyta; Magnoliopsida; Rosales; Rosaceae
Exons: 2
Source: RefSeq, a predicted model, not a curated record
AGAAUUUUUCCAGUUCCACUUUUCUUCCCUACAAAAAUUUCUCUUUAAAUCAGUGCACAUAGGGUUAGUGAAAUCAAUGAAAUAAAUUAAGGCAAAAAACAUUAAGGUCGUGCUGGCUCCCUUUUUUUCCUUGAUCAUAGAAAUCGAGUUCGACAUCCAUAUAAAGGCAUUGUAUGUGCAUGCAUGUGCCAAAAUUCUAAUCCAUCAGUAACUCAUAUUCCUGGAUUGUUCUUGUCAACAGAAACAUCCGUGAAAUAAAAACUUUCAUUCUACUAAUUAUAAAAACUACGUUGUUAUUAAAACUCAGUUCAAGAACAAAUCAAUCAUUUCUAUGCAUAGCACAUAUGAGAGAAAUUUCGAUGCAAACUACCCACAAAUAAGCCAUCCAUAUAACCAAAAUAAGCUUUGUUAGAGUCUACAAAUCAGACGCCUUUUUCUCUCAUCUAAAAGUACACUGUAACUCAAUGAACAAUGCAACACAUGAUGGAACAUUGAAAUUCAACCUUUUUCGUAAAAAAUUGUGCCAUAAGCCCAAAACAACUGGAAUGAAGAAAAAGAUAGUCCAUUUCUCGGUAAAAAAAGGUUUGCUAAUACUGUACAUACUGUCAAAUCUGAAUAUUGAAUAACGCUGCAAAACUUUGAUAAAAGUUUGAUGUUUUUAUUUUUAUAGAUGAAACCCCCUCAAAAUGUCUUCAAUAUGAACUCCAACCUCAAGUUUAAGUCUUGGCUAUAGCCUCUCUGCCUUGUAUCUACAAAUGGGUACAACUCUUAAAACAUUACGUUCAUGAUGUACACUUAAAUGUUGAGGGAAGUCCGCAUCAUAAACAUUCAUAACAAUCCACCAUGGAAACCUUUCCUUAGGUGGAAAACCAUCACCAAGCUCUCUUUUGCAAAAUUUUAGUUCAUCUUUUCUUUCUACCAAUUCCUUGAGCUUGGCAUUUGGCUCAUCAGACUGUCUCCUUUACUGAAUCGGCCAAGUUUCCUCCUUUGCAUUAAUGUUCCCAACUCGCCAAAUUGGCUCCUAGUUUUGUAUUAGAAUAGGCACCACAAUGACUAAGGCCAUCAGUAUAUGCUAGAACUCUGGAGGUCUGCUCAAACUAAUUUUAUGUGAAAGGAAUGAUUGACUUUGGUUCAAACCUAUACUACAGUUUAUUCUUCCCUUCUACCAAACAUUACCACAAAGUAUUUCUUCAACUUUUUGGUCACUGUUGCAACCCUAAAGAAACCACAGCCUUACCUUCCGAGGAAGACCCUUACCAAAUGCAGCACCUUGGCUCUCUCGUCUCUCCACUAUCCCACCCAACUCAAAGCAUACCCACUAAAUACCUAAGACCUCAUAAAUAUUACUCCAACACCCAAGGAAAAAAUAUUUAAGGUGUGAAAGUCCACAUGCCUUCAUUUCUCAAUAUCAUUGUCCGGCGCCACUUAAUACAUGUAAACAUUACAAUGGGUCUUUAUCUCUAUAUCAUGCAAAGAGUGAAAAGAAAAAGGGGAAAAAGAAAAUAAAACUGACUCAGAUAAUAAAAGAAAAAUGUUAUAAGUCAAUGGAUGGACACAAUUAUCCAUCCAAUAGUCUCGUACAAGAAAAAUGAUAGUGCAAAUCUGAAAUGGUUACUUCACCUAACUGCACAAUAUAAGAUCCAAAUAGGAGUUACAUUUUAAGUAGCUUUAGCUAUUUGUUGCAUUCAAAAGAUGUUAUGAGUAAGGAGAUUAUCAUAGGUUAAUAUAAUCUCAUACUUUUCCUUCACGUUUAAAUGUUAUACAAAUGAGAGUAUUGCUCUCACGUAUAGUGCUUUAAUUGUAUUGAAAUUUCCAGUUUCCACUUUAAAUUUGUUCAUUCUAUAGUUAUGUCUAAAGAUGGUACUUUUUUACUUCCUAGUUAUGGCAAAGGGAAGCAGCAAUGUUGAGGCAACAACUUCAAAACUUGCAAGAAAACCAUAGGUAUAAUGAUUUUCCUUUCUAUCAUGAAUACUUUGUAGCAUAUCAUAACCAAGAAACACUAUCAUUAGCAAAAGACGAUGAGAAAUAAAAGUUAAAAUUUCACAAUACAAUUGGGGUAUUUCGUUUCAUUUAGACUAGACUACAAGGCCUUGCCCCUUACACACGAGAAGUUAACACGCAAGUGUCUAAACACCAUUUUCACCAAAAAAAAUACAUUUUACUAAAGUUGUAUAAAAAGAGAAUUCAAUACUUGUAAAGGCAGCACAAUUGGCACUCGUGCACUCCAACUUUGUGUGUACAGGAAACACGAAAAUUUACAGAUGUCCAUUUUGAGGUUUAAAGUGCAUAGUAGCAUUAUCCAUUCAUAAAGGUGAACUAUCUUACUACGUCUAUCACCAAUUGCAUAUAUAAAAUUAAGACAUUAACGUUCACAGAGGCUUCAGAAGGUGCUAUACCAGGAAAUUACUUGCUGUUUGAAUAAUUCAAGGAGCCUGAGUGCACUUUAAUCAAAAUCAUAAGGCAAAAUUUUCCUAUAUAAAGAUUUCUUUGUUUUGCAUCUUCUGGGAGAAGCUUGAACUUUAGCUUCACCAGAAACUCUUUUCAAUUUCAACUAAAAUUCAACAGAAGAAAAACAUAUUAGCAGAUAAUGCACUUCUAUGGUGCAAGAGUGUGGUUUAGUGGUCUGAAGAGCUACACCAAACAGAGACUCAGGGUAGCUGGGUCAAAUUGGUAAUGAAGAACAUGAAUGUAUGAGAAACAAACUGACUCAAUGGAAGCCCUACUGAAGGUUUCAAAUUCUUCGACAAUAUGAGUACAGCCUGAUUUUCUUAAUAAAACUGUAACGGUGCCUUACUGACUUUAUUUUAAACAAAGUCUUCAUUUCUUACAAACACCAAAGAAUAAACAGCAGCUAGGGUUUGUACUCUUGCCUAAGUGAUCUUAGGUUCGAAUUGUAGUUUUGGAUUCUUUUGCUAUUUAAGUCUUAUUUAAGAAAACAUGCAGAAAGUAAAAGUGCUAGGGUGAGGGCAUGAACCUACUCCCUACAGGAAAACAAGAAAAAUAUCUAAACCCUGGUGCUUUGUCCAUAAUUUGUUAUUCUACUGCAAGCUGUGAUAUAUAUUAUACAAGUAUAUGAGAAAAAUAAAAUCAUGGGCCCUCCAAGACCAGGGCCUGUGCAGUGGCACUGCUUGGACACCCUCAGGCCCGGCCCUGCACAUGAUUUGUAGAACAAACAAUUAUAGAAGCUAUUUUGUUACUUAAGGGACUAGUGAAAGAGCUCAAAGAGAAAAAGAAUGAUCUUAUGUCGGUAUAGAUAUAGAAUAUAUGACAAGACUUGUAAAGGAGAAAAUUCUUGGUCAAGUUCUUAAUUUCUAAUGGUUUUUAUAAAGGUUUGGAUCUAGCUCUCAACCUUUCCUGCAGUGGUUAAUAAAAAUUUUUACAGGAACUGUUCACAUGGUGUACUUUGAUAUGCACACUUCUCAUGCUAAUUAAAUUAAAACAUUAAACAGCAAUGGGUGAACAAGUUGAUUGCUAGCUAAAACAAGCAACUAUGGAAGCUACUUUUUAAAACUAUGUCUAGUUGUUUAUAUAGGGUGCAGAAUGAUAAAAGAAAAUAAAAAGAUUACAAAACAAAAAUUUAUAAUAACUAUCAGUGUUUAUUUUGAUUAUUGAAGUUUUUUUUCAGUUUUUCUUUAGCCAAUUGUUGUUAAGUUUAUGAUAUUGAAGGACAUCUUAUGCUGCAUGCUUGCUUAUGCUAAAUCGAAAACUGUUGGUGAAAUAAAUUUUUGCCUUCCCAAAUUAUUUUUGUAUGACAUAUAUUUCUGCUAUUCCAAUUGUAUCACAACCCAGUGCUUUCCUUGAAAUACAAAAUCAUUUCCCGCAUAAAGCCAGAGAUAUUGCAUAUACAAUUUUUAGCUUUAUAUAUAAUGUCAAAAAUAAAUUAAAAGAUCCUAAAAAUGUUCAUAAUGCUAAUUCCAACUUAAUAAAGCACUCUAGUGAAGUCUUUUCUUAUCGGUGAAUGCACUGCAUUGAACCGAUUGGCAUGUUCCAUGAUGUUAUACUAGAUGUUAUACAAUGAGGGCGUGACAACUCUUCAUAACAAGUUAUUGAAUUUUCCCUAAGGAGUGACAUUGUUUAUACUCGUACAAGAUAGAGGACAAUACAGUGCUUAAAUAAUGGGAUUAGGUAUAGGUGAAAAUGAAGACAUAAUCUAGGAUAAAGAUGUUUGGCAUCAAACAGAAUUGCUAUGCAUCUCAUAAAUCCGCCUCACUACUGGGUUUAAGAUGUCCAAAGUCCAUUUUAGGGCCUAAACAAUGCUUCUCUCUCAAUGACUACAGGCAAAUGAUGGGAGAAGAGCUUUCUGGUCUGAGUGUGAAAGAUUUACAGAAUCUGGAGAACCAAUUGGAAACAAGUAUUCAGGCUGUCCGAAUGAAAAAGGUACGAACAGUCACUCAAUUUCUGAAAAUCAUCUAUUUACAUAAUGUUUCCCAUAGGGGUCUAAAUCACAAUUGUUACUUUUGUAGGACCAACUUUUAAUGGAUGAAAUAGAAGAACUAAACCGAAAGGGGAACGUCAUUCACCAAGAAAAUGUCCAUCUGUUUAAGAAGGUAAACCUACUUCGUGAAGAAAAUGUGGAGUUAUCUAAGAAGGUACUGGUUUUGAUAGCGUAAUAAACUUUAACUAUGCACGAAAGAGUAAUAAACUACAAUCCAACCUACAACAAAUUGCAAAAAUUUUCACAACGCCUCAACAGAAAAGUUUCACAUCCCAGGUUUAUGGAACAAUGGAUGUAAAUGAAGCCAACCAAAGUCCCAUUCUGACAAAUGGUCAAGGUAUCGAAGAGGACUCACAUGGACCUGUCCGUCUCCAGCUUAGCCAGCCACAGCAGCAAAACUACGAGCCAGCAGCAAGGGCUACAAAUCUGGGGUAUACCUCCUUCCUAAAACUAUAGUGUCUAUUAUGAUAAUCACUUGUAAGUUUUCAUUUUUUGAUCAAACUAUAUCCGUGACGACUACGGCAGACUACAACUACGCUAGCAAAGAAGAUGCAUCAGACUAGGAUGAUGUUACUUGAUUUCUCAAGAACAAGGCUGUUGGAUAAAAGUUAUGUUCUAUCACACUAAUGUCGUAAAAGAGCUGCAAAACAAUCAGCAAAAGGACCUUUAUUUGAAAACAAUGUUUUGAUGUGUGUGUGACAAUCAAAGAAACCAUCUACAUAUGUAAAGAUGAGAUUCAUAUAUAAUAAAGAAUAAUUGACUUGCACUUCAGGUGCACCGCAGCGUUUAGAAAUCUCUAAGUCUCUAUGUAUCUGUGGAACAAACAUGCUCUGAAACAUAUUGCAAUGUUUAUAUGCAUGUCGUCAAUUUUUGUACAACAAAACAUGUGAACAAAAGCAAUUGCUUUGACAAAAGAUGAA